RNAcentral lists this ribosomal RNA (253 nucleotides) under uncultured bacterium. RNAcentral's name for it is "partial 16S ribosomal RNA". It matches the Rfam family "Bacterial small subunit ribosomal RNA", at positions 524 to 776 of the family's 1533-position model. The record is from RNAcentral.
UACGAAGGGGGCUAGCGUUGCUCGGAAUCACUGGGCGUAAAGCGCACGUAGGCGGAUUGUUAAGUCAGGGGUGAAAUCCUGGAGCUCAACUCCAGAACUGCCUUUGAUACUGGCGGUCUCGAGUCCGGGAGAGGUGAGUGGAACUGCGAGUGUAGAGGUGAAAUUCGUAGAUAUUCGCAAGAACACCAGUGGCGAAGGCGGCUCACUGGCCCGGUACUGACGCUAAGGUGCGAAAGCGUGGGGAGCAAACAGG